GAUGAACGCUGGCGGCGUGCCUAAUACAUGCAAGUCGAGCGAACAGACGAGGAGCUUGCUCCUCUGACGUUAGCGGCGGACGGGUGAGUAACACGUGGAUAACCUACCUAUAAGACUGGGAUAACUUCGGGAAACCGGAGCUAAUACCGGAUAAUAUAUUGAACCGCAUGGUUCAAUAGUGAAAGACGGUUUUGCUGUCGCUUAUAGAUGGAUCCGCGCCGCAUUAGCUAGUUGGUAAGGUAACGGCUUACCAAGGCGACGAUGCGUAGCCGACCUGAGAGGGUGAUCGGCCACACUGGAACUGAGACACGGUUCAGACUCCUACGGGAGGCAGCAGUAGGGAAUCUUCCGCAAUGGGCGAAAGCCUGACGGAGCAACGCCGCGUGAGUGAUGAAGGUCUUCGGAUCGUAAAACUCUGUUAUUAGGGAAGAACAAAUGUGUAAGUAACUAUGCACGUCUUGACGGUACCUAAUCAGAAAGCCACGGCUAACUACGUG
This 497-nucleotide ribosomal RNA is filed under the name uncultured bacterium. Its description in RNAcentral is "partial 16S ribosomal RNA". It matches the Rfam family "Bacterial small subunit ribosomal RNA", at positions 28 to 507 of the family's 1533-position model. The record is from RNAcentral.